UAAACUAGGAUUAGAUACCCUAUUAUUAUAAAUUUAAAUUUAAAAUACUAAAUUAGUAUUAGUUAUUUUCUUGAAAAUUAAAAAAUUUGGCGGUAUUUUAGUCUUUUCAGAGGAACCUGUCCUGUAAUUGAUAGUCCACGAUUAUAUAUACUUGAAUUUUAAGUUUACAUAUCGUUGUAGAUUGAAUAUUUUAAUAGAAUUUAAAUGUUCAGAAUUUUUUAUUAAAAAAUAAAUCAGAUCAAGGUGUAGUUUAUAUUUAAGAAGAGGUGGGUUACAUUAAAAUUAUUUUAGGAUAAUUUUUUUAAAAAAAAUUUGAAUUUGGAUUUGAUAGUAAUUUAAUAUAUUUAUUUUUAAUGAUUAUAGCUCUAAAAUAUGUACACAUCGCCCGUCGCUCUUAA
RNAcentral lists this ribosomal RNA (398 nucleotides) under Tuberculobruchus babaulti. RNAcentral describes it as "partial 12S small subunit ribosomal RNA". Lineage: Eukaryota; Metazoa; Arthropoda; Insecta; Coleoptera; Chrysomelidae. The record is from RNAcentral.